Molecule: ribosomal RNA, 253 nt
Filed under: uncultured bacterium
Lineage: Bacteria
Description: partial 16S ribosomal RNA
Rfam family: Bacterial small subunit ribosomal RNA
Source: RNAcentral
UACGUAGGGUGCAAGCGUUGUCCGGAAUUACUGGGCGUAAAGGGCGCGUAGGCGGCCUACUAAGUCAGACGUGAAAUCCCCCGGCUUAACCUGGGAACUGCGUCUGAUACUGGAAGGCUUGAGGAUGGGAGAGGGAUGUAGAAUUCCAGGUGUAGCGGUGAAAUGCGUAGAUAUCUGGAGGAAUACCGGUGGCGAAGGCGGCAUCCUGGACCAUUACUGACGCUGAGGCGCGAAAGCUAGGGGAGCAAACGGG